Molecule: ribosomal RNA, 483 nt
Filed under: uncultured bacterium
Lineage: Bacteria
Description: partial 16S ribosomal RNA
Rfam family: Bacterial small subunit ribosomal RNA
Source: RNAcentral
AUUGAACGCUGGCGGCAGGCCUAACACAUGCAAGUCGAGCGGAUGAAGGGAGCUUGCUCCUGGAUUCAGCGGCGGACGGGUGAGUAAUGCCUAGGAAUCUGCCUGGUAGUGGGGGAUAACGUCCGGAAACGGGCGCUAAUACCGCAUACGUCCUGAGGGAGAAAGUGGGGGAUCUUCGGACCUCACGCUAUCAGAUGAGCCUAGGUCGGAUUAGCUAGUUGGUGGGGUAAAGGCCUACCAAGGCGACGAUCCGUAACUGGUCUGAGAGGAUGAUCAGUCACACUGGAGCUGAGACACGGUCCAGACUCCGACGGGAGGCAGCAGUGGGGAAGAUUGGAAAAUGGGCGAAAGCCUGAUCCAGCCAUGCAGCGUGUGUGAAGAAGGUCUUCGGGUUGUAAAGCACUUUAAGGUGGGAGGAAGGGCAGUAAGUUAAGACCUUGCUGUUUUGACGUUACCAACAGAAUAAGCACCGGCUAACUUCGU